This 1818-nucleotide ribosomal RNA is filed under the name Escherichia coli. RNAcentral describes it as "partial 23S ribosomal RNA". It matches the Rfam family "Bacterial large subunit ribosomal RNA", at positions 1145 to 2925 of the family's 2925-position model. The record is from RNAcentral. Lineage: Bacteria; Pseudomonadati; Pseudomonadota; Gammaproteobacteria; Enterobacterales; Enterobacteriaceae.
CUGGUCGAGUCGGCCUGCGCGGAAGAUGUAACGGGGCUAAACCAUGCACCGAAGCUGCGGCAGCGACACUGUGUGUUGUUGGGUAGGGGAGCGUUCUGUAAGCCUGUGAAGGUGUGCUGUGAGGCAUGCUGGAGGUAUCAGAAGUGCGAAUGCUGACAUAAGUAACGAUAAAGCGGGUGAAAAGCCCGCUCGCCGGAAGACCAAGGGUUCCUGUCCAACGUUAAUCGGGGCAGGGUGAGUCGACCCCUAAGGCGAGGCCGAAAGGCGUAGUCGAUGGGAAACAGGUUAAUAUUCCUGUACUUGGUGUUACUGCGAAGGGGGGACGGAGAAGGCUAUGUUGGCCGGGCGACGGUUGUCCCGGUUUAAGCGUGUAGGCUGGUUUUCCAGGCAAAUCCGGAAAAUCAAGGCUGAGGCGUGAUGACGAGGCACUACGGUGCUGAAGCAACAAAUGCCCUGCUUCCAGGAAAAGCCUCUAAGCAUCAGGUAACAUCAAAUCGUACCCCAAACCGACACAGGUGGUCAGGUAGAGAAUACCAAGGCGCUUGAGAGAACUCGGGUGAAGGAACUAGGCAAAAUGGUGCCGUAACUUCGGGAGAAGGCACGCUGAUAUGUAGGUGAAGUCCCUCGCGGAUGGAGCUGAAAUCAGUCGAAGAUACCAGCUGGCUGCAACUGUUUAUUAAAAACACAGCACUGUGCAAACACGAAAGUGGACGUAUACGGUGUGACGCCUGCCCGGUGCCGGAAGGUUAAUUGAUGGGGUCAGCGCAAGCGAAGCUCUUGAUCGAAGCCCCGGUAAACGGCGGCCGUAACUAUAACGGUCCUAAGGUAGCGAAAUUCCUUGUCGGGUAAGUUCCGACCUGCACGAAUGGCGUAAUGAUGGCCAGGCUGUCUCCACCCGAGACUCAGUGAAAUUGAACUCGCUGUGAAGAUGCAGUGUACCCGCGGCAAGACGGAAAGACCCCGUGAACCUUUACUAUAGCUUGACACUGAACAUUGAGCCUUGAUGUGUAGGAUAGGUGGGAGGCUUUGAAGUGUGGACGCCAGUCUGCAUGGAGCCGACCUUGAAAUACCACCCUUUAAUGUUUGAUGUUCUAACGUGGACCCGUGAUCCGGGUUGCGGACAGUGUCUGGUGGGUAGUUUGACUGGGGCGGUCUCCUCCUAAAGAGUAACGGAGGAGCACGAAGGUUGGCUAAUCCUGGUCGGACAUCAGGAGGUUAGUGCAAUGGCAUAAGCCAGCUUGACUGCGAGCGUGACGGCGCGAGCAGGUGCGAAAGCAGGUCAUAGUGAUCCGGUGGUUCUGAAUGGAAGGGCCAUCGCUCAACGGAUAAAAGGUACUCCGGGGAUAACAGGCUGAUACCGCCCAAGAGUUCAUAUCGACGGCGGUGUUUGGCACCUCGAUGUCGGCUCAUCACAUCCUGGGGCUGAAGUAGGUCCCAAGGGUAUGGCUGUUCGCCAUUUAAAGUGGUACGCGAGCUGGGUUUAGAACGUCGUGAGACAGUUCGGUCCCUAUCUGCCGUGGGCGCUGGAGAACUGAGGGGGGCUGCUCCUAGUACGAGAGGACCGGAGUGGACGCAUCACUGGUGUUCGGGUUGUCAUGCCAAUGGCACUGCCCGGUAGCUAAAUGCGGAAGAGAUAAGUGCUGAAAGCAUCUAAGCACGAAACUUGCCCCGAGAUGAGUUCUCCCUGACCCUUUAAGGGUCCUGAAGGAACGUUGAAGACGACGACGUUGAUAGGCCGGGUGUGUAAGCGCAGCGAUGCGUUGAGCUAACCGGUACUAAUGAACCGUGAGGCUUAACCUUACAACGCCGAAGGUGUUU